Molecule: non-coding RNA, 81 nt
Filed under: Schistosoma japonicum
Lineage: Eukaryota; Metazoa; Platyhelminthes; Trematoda; Strigeidida; Schistosomatidae
Source: RNAcentral
AGUCUUCUAUCGAGACUCUCCAACGAUGGCUAAUAGAAAUGUGGUCUAUUUAAGUCCAGCGUUGGGUUGAUUUCGGAGGCC